Molecule: long non-coding RNA, 404 nt
Filed under: Junco hyemalis (dark-eyed junco)
Lineage: Eukaryota; Metazoa; Chordata; Aves; Passeriformes; Passerellidae
Description: lncRNA (ENSJHYG00000016723.1)
Source: RNAcentral
AGAGCUUGCAGGGUCCAUAGGAGGAAUACAGUGAAACAUAAAUUGUAACAAGCCUGAAAUCUCAUGUGAACUACUAUUGAACCAGAACGAGGGAGACUGCAGACAAGAUGUAUAGAACCUGAAAUCUGCACCAUCUGAAUUUGUCACCCAAAUUAACUGCGUGUGUGUCUUUGGACUCUCAGCAAGAAGAAAUUAUUACAGCUUUUAGAUCUAAAUCACAGCUGCUUAAAAUACUAUGACCUUGCAAGGAAAAGGAAGGUCACCUGAAGAAAUCUUUACACACCUCCAAUGUUUCCUGAAGGGACAUUUUGGAUCAGAAGAAAACAGAGAUCUAAUCUAAUGGUAGUGCUCCUUGUCAAGCUCAGAACUCUCUAUUUGGUUGAGAUGAAUGUCAGUCCUCAAAG